Molecule: ribosomal RNA, 1140 nt
Filed under: Psychrobacter sp.
Lineage: Bacteria; Pseudomonadati; Pseudomonadota; Gammaproteobacteria; Moraxellales; Moraxellaceae
Description: bacterial SSU rRNA
Rfam family: Bacterial small subunit ribosomal RNA
Source: RNAcentral
UGGCAGCUACACAUGCAGUCGAGCGGAACGAUGAUAGCUUGCUAUCAGGCGUCGAGCGGCGACGGGUGAGUAAUACUUAGGAAUCUACCUAGUAGUGGGGGAUAGCACGGGGAAACUCGUAUUAAUACCGCAUACGACCUACGGGAGAAAGGGGGCAGUUUACUGCUCUCGCUAUUAGAUGAGCCUAAGUCGGAUUAGCUAGAUGGUGGGGUAAAGGCCUACCAUGGCGACGAUCUGUAGCUGGUCUGAGAGGAUGAUCAGCCACACCGGGACUGAGACACGGCCCGGACUCCUACGGGAGGCAGCAGUGGGGAAUAUUGGACAAUGGGGGCAACCCUGAUCCAGCCAUGCCGCGUGUGUGAAGAAGGCCUUUUGGUUGUAAAGCACUUUAAGCAGUGAAGAAGACUCCAUGGUUAAUACCCAUGGACGAUGACAUUAGCUGCAGAAUAAGCACCGGCUAACUCUGUGCCAGCAGCCGCGGUAAUACAGAGGGUGCAAGCGUUAAUCGGAAUUACUGGGCGUAAAGGGAGCGUAGGUGGCUUGAUAAGUCAGAUGUGAAAUCCCCGGGCUUAACCUGGGAACUGCAUCUGAAACUGUUAGGCUAGAGUAGGUGAGAGGAAGGUAGAAUUCCAGGUGUAGCGGUGAAAUGCGUAGAGAUCUGGAGGAAUACCGAUGGCGAAGGCAGCCUUCUGGCAUCAUACUGACACUGAGGCUCGAAAGCGUGGGUAGCAAACAGGAUUAGAUACCCUGGUAGUCCACGCCGUAACGAUGUCUACUAGUCGUUGGGUCCCUUGAGGACUUAGUGACGCAGCUACGCAAUAAGUAGACCGCCUGGGGAGUACGGCCGCAAGGUUAAAACUCAAUGAAUUGACGGGGCCCGCACAAGCGGUGGAGCAUGUGGUUUAAUUCGAUGCAACGCGAGAACCUUACCUGGUCUUGACAUAUCUAGAUCCUGCAGAGAUGCGGGAGUGCUUCGGGAUAGAUACAGUGCUGCAUGGCUGUCGUCAGCUCGUGUCGUGAGAUGUUGGGUAGUUCCCGCACCGAGCGCACCCUGUCUAGUUACAGCGGGUUAGGCAGGACUCUAAGGAUACUGCCAUGACAACCUGAGAGCCGGACGAACGUCAAGUCAUCAUGGGGGCU